GAUGAACGCUGGCGGCGUGCCUAAUACAUGCAAGUAGAACGCUGAAGGAAGGAGCUUGCUCUUUCCGGAUGAGUUGCGCACGGGUGAGUAACGCGUAGGUAACCUGCCUGGUAGCGGGGGAUAACUAUUGGAAACGAUAGCUAAUACCGCAUAACAGUAGAUGUUGCAUGAUAUCUACUUAAAAGGUGCAAUUGCACUACUACCAGAUGGACCUGCGUUGUAUUAGCUAGUUGGUGAGGUAACGGCUCACCAAGGCGACGAUACAUAGCCGACCUGAGAGGGUGAUCGGCCACUCUGGGACUGCGACACGGCCCAGACUCCUACGGGAGGCAGCAGUAGGGAAUCUUCGGCAAUGGACGGAAGUCUGACCGAGCAACGCCGCGUGAGUGAAGAAGGUUUUCGGAUCGUAAAGCUCUGUUGUAAGAGAAGAACUAGUGUGAGAGUGGAAAGUUCACACUGUGACGGUAGCUUACCAGAAAGGGACGGCUAACUACGUG
RNAcentral lists this ribosomal RNA (497 nucleotides) under uncultured bacterium. RNAcentral's name for it is "partial 16S ribosomal RNA". It matches the Rfam family "Bacterial small subunit ribosomal RNA", at positions 28 to 507 of the family's 1533-position model. The record is from RNAcentral.